AGGGUGAACGGCCACACUGGAAGUGAGACACGGUCGAGAAUCCUACGGGAGGCAGCAGUAGGGAAGCUUCCGCAAUGGGAGAAAGCCUGACGGAGCAACGCCGCGUGAGUGAUGAAGGUCUUCGGAUCGUAAAGCUCUGUUGUUAGGGAAGAACAAAUGUGUAAGUAACU
This 170-nucleotide ribosomal RNA is filed under the name Staphylococcus chromogenes. RNAcentral describes it as "partial 16S ribosomal RNA". It matches the Rfam family "Bacterial small subunit ribosomal RNA", at positions 297 to 466 of the family's 1533-position model. Lineage: Bacteria; Bacillati; Bacillota; Bacilli; Caryophanales; Staphylococcaceae. The record is from RNAcentral.